AAGUAGAAAAUUGGGGUGUACACGGGCUUAGAUAAAAAAAAACUAGCCCAAUAAUAAUCUUCUACUACUAAUCAUAAUAAUAUAAAACAUAAAACUAAUAACAAAAAAGUAAACUAAAAAAAAACAAAGAAAAUAUAUAGACUUUUCAAAGCACUCUCUUUAUAAAGAGACAAAACGCUUACUAAUGGAUAACACGUGAAGCUUCGAGUGGAAAUUUUCUCUCCAUCUCCUUCAAGAAUUAACACAACUCAUACCCUUCAUUCAACAAACAAAACACAUAAAAUUACAAGACAACAACAUAUCAAGAAUGAGAAACAAGGAAGCUAACCAAAAUGAAAGACCGGAGGAGAUGCGAAGGAAGAGCAGUGAGUUGCGUUUGUGAUGGUGGAUUCACGGUUGAGUUGUGGUUUUGCUUGCAAGGUCCGCUUCAUGUUGGUGCUUCAUGUGGUAGUCAGAAGUAUCGUCAGAAGUGAAAGGAUCUAACAUUGUCUUUGAUUUUGCUUAUGACUUUGUCUUUCCUUUUGUUUGGGAUAUUGUUGUUAGUAAUUUAUGUUGAAGAAGAUGAAUGGAAAUGAUGUAAGAUGGUGUAAGUUUGUGUGGUCAUGGAGAAAGUAUGUGCAUGGUGUUAUGGUGAAGUUUGGAGAGGGACAUGGAAAGGGGUUAUGUGAAGUUUUUGUUGGUAAAGUAGAAUAAAAGAAUUAAGGUGAGGUUAUAUUUUUGUAGUUGAUGAUUUUGUUGAGAAAAAAAUUAUAAGUAUAAAGUUAGUAAUAUGAUUUUCAUAUGAAUGGGUUUAUGUUGAUGAGAAGAAGAAGAUGAGAUAUGGAAAAGAUGAUUUUCAUUUUUUUACUACAUCUUUUAUUUGCUUCUUUAGUGAGAGAGAAACUAUGGUACAAUUUUUGUAUGUGGUUGCAAAAGGGAGGUUGAUAUGGAGUUUAAUGUGAUGAGAGGGAGAAAAUCAAGUCUAAAGAAUUAAGAGAGAGGUUAGAAUGUAUUGUUGUAAAGGUGAUGAAAAAUGGUCUCUUGGUGAUGGUUGUAGGUUAUUUUUUUUAUUUUCUUCUCUUAUUCAAAUGGCGGAG
Molecule: long non-coding RNA, 1076 nt
Filed under: Lathyrus oleraceus (garden pea)
Lineage: Eukaryota; Viridiplantae; Streptophyta; Magnoliopsida; Fabales; Fabaceae
Description: Pisum sativum (pea) long non-coding RNA (PSAT_LNC012354)
Source: RNAcentral